Long non-coding RNA from Rhagoletis pomonella (apple maggot), 575 nucleotides. RefSeq lists it as uncharacterized. The record is from RefSeq and is a predicted model, not a curated record. Lineage: Eukaryota; Metazoa; Arthropoda; Insecta; Diptera; Tephritidae. The transcript is spliced from 2 exons.
UGCUGUAUAUUUUAACGACUGCAUGCAAAAGUUGUCGCGAAAAGUAUUUUUAAGUUUGAAUUUGAAUAUUGAAUAAUUUGAUUUUGUACGUACGCUAUUUUAUGGCGUGUUCUUAUUUAAAGUAUUUUUUUACAAAUUUUCUACAAAGAUGCACUUGGCCGAAAUUCGUCUGUUAAGGAAGUGGGAUUGGAUUUGAAAGAAUGAAGAAGGCUUCCGACCCCGGUCAGCAACACAACUUUUGCUGCCAGAAAUUAAGUUCAUUGGCAACUUUGACGUCCGUUUCCCAUUCUGCCCCGUGAAAUAUGCAAUACCAGCAUUUCUACAAUAACCCAUUUCUGAAUUGCUGAAUGAUAGGAUUGCCAUUUUGCUGAGCACAUUGGUUAUUGGAAGUAGUAAAGAUUCUCAAUAAUGUACAGAAUAUAUACAGUUUACGUGGUCUGAGCUUCAACUGGCACUAAAAAAUAAGCCCUUAAUUAAUAUUUAUCUAUAUAACCAUGGUGAAAUUAUAAAUAGGUUAAGUAAUAAAACAGCUUUCUGGCUUAAUUUUCUUGACAUUCGACUGUCUUAUAGAAAUA